UAUCCUACGGGAGGCAGCAGUGGGGAAUAUUGGACAAUGGGCCACAAGCCUGAUCCAGCAAUUCUGUGUGCACGAUGAAGGUCUUCGGAUUGUAAAGUGCUUUCAGUUGGGAAGAAGGAAGUGACGGUACCAACAGAAGAAGCGACGGCUAAAUACGUGCCAGCAGCCGCGGUAAUACA
Molecule: ribosomal RNA, 179 nt
Filed under: uncultured bacterium
Lineage: Bacteria
Description: partial 16S ribosomal RNA
Rfam family: Bacterial small subunit ribosomal RNA
Source: RNAcentral